Molecule: ribosomal RNA, 870 nt
Filed under: Vibrio coralliilyticus
Lineage: Bacteria; Pseudomonadati; Pseudomonadota; Gammaproteobacteria; Vibrionales; Vibrionaceae
Description: bacterial SSU rRNA
Rfam family: Bacterial small subunit ribosomal RNA
Source: RNAcentral
AGUCAGAUGUGAAAGCCCGGGGCUCAACCUCGGGAAUUGCAUUUGAAACUGGCAGACUAGAGUACUGUAGAGGGGGGUAGAAUUUCAGGUGUAGCGGUGAAAUGCGUAGAGAUCUGAAGGAAUACCGGUGGCGAAGGCGGCCCCCUGGACAGAUACUGACACUCAGAUGCGAAAGCGUGGGGAGCAAACAGGAUUAGAUACCCUGGUAGUCCACGCCGUAAACGAUGUCUACUUGGAGGUUGUGGCCUUGAGCCGUGGCUUUCGGAGCUAACGCGUUAAGUAGACCGCCUGGGGAGUACGGUCGCAAGAUUAAAACUCAAAUGAAUUGACGGGGGCCCGCACAAGCGGUGGAGCAUGUGGUUUAAUUCGAUGCAACGCGAAGAACCUUACCUACUCUUGACAUCCUCAGAAGAGACUGGAGACAGUCUUGUGCCUUCGGGAACUGAGAGACAGGUGCUGCAUGGCUGUCGUCAGCUCGUGUUGUGAAAUGUUGGGUUAAGUCCCGCAACGAGCGCAACCCUUAUCCUUGUUUGCCAGCACUUCGGGUGGGAACUCCAGGGAGACUGCCGGUGAUAAACCGGAGGAAGGUGGGGACGACGUCAAGUCAUCAUGGCCCUUACGAGUAGGGCUACACACGUGCUACAAUGGCGCAUACAGAGGGCGGCCAACUUGCGAAAGUGAGCGAAUCCCAAAAAGUGCGUCGUAGUCCGGAUCGGAGUCUGCAACUCGACUCCGUGAAGUCGGAAUCGCUAGUAAUCGUGGAUCAGAAUGCCACGGUGAAUACGUUCCCGGGCCUUGUACACACCGCCCGUCACACCAUGGGAGUGGGCUGCAAAAGAAGUGGGUAGUUUAACCUUCGGGAGGACGCUC